Molecule: long non-coding RNA, 1581 nt
Organism: Homo sapiens (human)
Lineage: Eukaryota; Metazoa; Chordata; Mammalia; Primates; Hominidae
Gene: TRD-AS1
Product: TRD antisense RNA 1
Source: Ensembl
AUGAUGAGGCAUUAAAGAAGAGGAGGAGUGUCUCAAGGGAGGUGAGCUGGAGGUGAUGCAAGGAUGUCUGAUCUGAAAGCAUGUUGUGGUCCGCUACACACAAGAGCAAAAGAAGAGCAGGAAGGAGCUCAGUGCCAAGACCAUAGCCACAGGAAGAAAACCAGCUCUUAGGGCUGCAGCUCUAAAGACAGGCCAGGUCAUUACAGGAACGUCUGCUCCCUUAGCCUUGCCAGACAGAGGAGGGUUAAGAAAGGAACUGCUGACCCUGAUAUGCAAACUGCCACGAGUGCUUCCUGCCUUUCUAUCAGCAUCAGAUGGCUAGCGAUGGAUGGCUGUGGAGAGAGGAUGCCAGACAGAUAUUUGAGCAGAACAAAGAGAGCCAACAGGAUGAAGGCAUUCCCUGGCUGGUUGGACAAGCAACUGAAGAACAGGAACAGAAGUGAAUGAAAAGAGAAGAUGCUGUGUUUGUGUUUUCUCUUGGUUAGAAUGCUGUGAGUCAGGACCUUAGCUGCUGGGUGUCCUGGGACUGCCUUCGAUGAAGAACCUGAGGCUCACCUUGCUUAAGUGACUUGAGCAGCUUCACGCAUCUUAGAAAACUGCAAAUUGGAACAGCAGAGCUGUGCCUCUGGCCAUUUCCUGGAACUACAGAGGAGCAACUUGCCCCGGUUUCCAGUGGGUGAUGUUCCUCUUCUGCCACAGUCCCUGGCGAUGUUGAUGUGAUUGCCAUCAGAGCUCAGAAGCACAGAGCAGAAUCAUCCCCUGGAGGAGGAUUCCCUUCAGUGUAAGAAGUUCUUACAGAAUUAAUCCUCAAAGACUGUGGGUGGACUCUGCCAGGUUUUUCCCCGGGUGUACCAGAAGAGAGGAAGAGCCCUCAAAUACAGGAAAGUGCUCUUUUCAGUGACAGUAGUUCUUUUGGGCCCUGUGGCUAAGUGUGCUCCCACCCCAGCAGUAAGAUCACAGCUAAUCCUGAGAGGCAAGAGCUCACACCAGGCUACUGAAAGAAAAAGUGUCCUUUGUGGAUUGCAAGAGGAACUGGGACACACUGCUGGAAAUGAAGUGGCAGGUCAUAAACUAUCAUAAACUCAGGAGGAGAGGUGUUCCUUUUUGAGACACUCAUCACAACUAGAGAGAAUGCAGCUAAGAAAAUGCAGUCUUUAGGGGGACCUGGACUGUUGAAGUAUUUGAGCUAUUCGGAGGAAAUAGAAACUUGGAAGAGAUCUUUGUUCCACUAUUAUUUGGCAGCCCCUUACCCGCAGCUGCCAUUACUCCAGAUUCUCUCUGAUGAUCCUGCAUCAGGAGAAUGAGUUGACUGGGCACCACUGGGAAAUGUGGGCAGCUCCAGGCUGAACUAGAGAAGGGGCAUGUCAAAGGUCACUUAUUUGUGGCUUGACCCUUUGGAGGCCAGAUGUAAGAAUCAAUUUCUCACAGGUCCCAUGCUAACGCUUUUCAUAUUUAUUUCCAUCUGAGACUCACUUAGGCUAGGCAAAUAUCCCAUGGGUCUGUACCUCUCCAGUGCUUUCUUGCUCAUGUAAAAUUAGCUCAUUGGAAUGAAUAAAGAGAAUGGUAUUACUUUGGCUCGAA